RNAcentral lists this ribosomal RNA (514 nucleotides) under uncultured bacterium. Its description in RNAcentral is "partial 16S ribosomal RNA". It matches the Rfam family "Bacterial small subunit ribosomal RNA", at positions 28 to 523 of the family's 1533-position model. The record is from RNAcentral.
GAUGAACGCUGGCGGCGUGCCUAAUACAUGCAAGUCGAGCGAACAGAUGAGAAGCUUGCUUCUCUGAUGUUAGCGGCGGACGGGUGAGUAACACGUGGGUAACCUACCUAUAAGACUGGGAUAACUCCGGGAAACCGGGGCUAAUACCGGAUAAUAUUUUGAACCGCAUGGUUCAAUAGUGAAAGACGGUUUCGGCUGUCACUUAUAGAUGGACCCGCGCCGUAUUAGCUAGUUGGUAAGGUAACGGCUUACCAAGGCGACGAUACGUAGCCGACCUGAGAGGGUGAUCGGCCACACUGGAACUGAGACACGGUCCAGACGCCUACGGGAGGCAGCAGUAGGGAAUCUUCCGCAAUGGGCGAAAGCCUGACGGAGCAACGCCGCGUGAGUGAUGAAGGUCUUCGGAUCGUAAAACUCUGUUGUUAGGGAAGAACAAAUUUGUUAGUAACUGAACAAAUCUUGACGGUACCUAACCAGAAAGCCACGGCUAACUACGUGCCAGCAGCCGCCGUAA